GAGUAGGUGUCACACCGGGCCACUUCCUGGUUGGAGGCCAAUGUCCCGGGCGCCGAGUUGGGGAAGGUGCCGCGGGGAGGAGGCGCAGCCGGGACCCGGGUGGAGGAGGAGGCCGAGGCGCUGAGGACAUGUAUACCUCUGAGAAAUCUUGGACAAGAUACCUUAGCUUAAAACCUGCCUGGGACUUUAAGAACAGAGGAUAUCAGUCAUGAGUACAGAUGCUGAGCAGGAUUCCGCUUAUCAAACUU
Long non-coding RNA from Sphaerodactylus townsendi, 248 nucleotides. RefSeq lists it as uncharacterized. NCBI's taxonomy places the organism in Eukaryota, Metazoa, Chordata, Lepidosauria, Squamata, Sphaerodactylidae. The transcript is spliced from 3 exons. The record is from RefSeq and is a predicted model, not a curated record.